This 551-nucleotide ribosomal RNA is filed under the name uncultured soil bacterium. Its description in RNAcentral is "bacterial SSU rRNA". It matches the Rfam family "Bacterial small subunit ribosomal RNA", at positions 35 to 567 of the family's 1533-position model. The record is from RNAcentral.
GCUGGCGGCGUGCCUAACACAUGCAAGUCGAACGCGAAAGGGGCUUCGGCUCUGAGUAGAGUGGCGAACGGGUGAGUAACACGUGGGUGACCUACCUUCGAAUGGGGGAUAACGUCCCGAAAGGGACGCUAAUACCGCAUAACAUCCUGUCUUUGAACAGAUGGAGAUCAAAGCUGGGGAUCGUAAGACCUGGCGUUUGAAGAGGGGCCCGCGUCCGAUUAGCUAGUUGGUGAGGUAACGGCUCACCAAGGCAACGAUCGGUAGCCGGCCUGAGAGGGCGGACGGCCACACUGGGACUGAGACACGGCCCAGACUCCUACGGGAGGCAGCAGUGGGGAAUUGUUCGCAAUGGGCGCAAGCCUGACGACGCAACGCCGCGUGGAGGAUGAAGGUCUUCGGAUUGUAAACUCCUGUUGCCCGGGACGAAACGCCUCGACCUAACACGUCGAGGUUUGACGGUACCGGGUGAGGAAGCCCCGGCUAACUCUGUGCCAGCAGCCGCGGUAAUACAGAGGGGGCAAGCGUUGUUCGGAAUUACUGGGCGUAAAGGG